UACGUAGGGUGCAAGCGUUAAUCGGAAUUACUGGGCGUAAAGCGUGCGCAGGCGGUUAUGCAAGACAGAGGUGAAAUCCCCGGGCUCAACCUGGGAACUGCCUUUGUGACUGCAUAGCUAGAGUACGGUAGAGGGGGAUGGAAUUCCGCGUGUAGCAGUGAAAUGCGUAGAGAUGUGGAGGAACACCGAUGGCGAAGGCAGCCUCCUGGGCCAGCACUGACGCUCAUGCACGAAAGCGUGGGGAGCAAACAGG
Molecule: ribosomal RNA, 253 nt
Filed under: uncultured bacterium
Lineage: Bacteria
Description: partial 16S ribosomal RNA
Rfam family: Bacterial small subunit ribosomal RNA
Source: RNAcentral